RNAcentral lists this ribosomal RNA (156 nucleotides) under Gracilariophila oryzoides. RNAcentral's name for it is "5.8S ribosomal RNA". It matches the Rfam family "5.8S ribosomal RNA". Rfam says of the family: 5.8S ribosomal RNA (5.8S rRNA) is a component of the large subunit of the eukaryotic ribosome. It is transcribed by RNA polymerase I as part of the 45S precursor that also contains 18S and 28S rRNA. The record is from RNAcentral. Lineage: Eukaryota; Rhodophyta; Florideophyceae; Gracilariales; Gracilariaceae.
CAACUCGUAACGCUGGAUGUCUCGGUUCCUACAUCGAUGAAGAACGUAGCAACCUGCGAUACGCGAUGCGAAUUGCUAUUCUCGUGAAUCAUUGAAUUUUUUUUGAACGCAAGUUGCGCUCGCGGGUAAUCCCGUGAGCAUGUCUGUUUGAGUGUC